GACCAACCCUUAAAGACUGCUGCAUCUUUAGGAUAUUCUAGUCCAACAUCGAGGUCACAAACUCUCUUUUCGAUAAGGACUCUCAAAGAGAAUUAUGCUGUUAUCCCUAUGGUAACUAAUUCCAUUGAUCAAAAUUUCUGGAUCAACACUUGUAAGUCUUAUUAAUUAAUAAAGAAGCUUUAUUUGUUCCAUAGUCGCCCCAACCAAAAUCUAAAAUAGAUUAAUAUUUAAAAUUAUAUAUUAUUUUCAAUUUAUUUUUUUAAAGCUCAAUAGGGUCUUCUUGUCUUUCAAUUAAAUCUAGGUUUCCUCACCUAGAAAUCAAGUUCUAAAAAAUUACAUAGAGACAGCUUUGUUCACGUCAAACCAUUCAUACUAGCCCUCAAUUAUAGGGCAAAUGAUUAUGCUACCUUUGCACGGUCAGAGUACCGCGGCCGUUAAAAUAUAUUCACUGGGCAGGUCCGACUC
This 465-nucleotide ribosomal RNA is filed under the name Erronea caurica samoensis. RNAcentral's name for it is "partial 16S large subunit ribosomal RNA". The record is from RNAcentral. Lineage: Eukaryota; Metazoa; Mollusca; Gastropoda; Littorinimorpha; Cypraeidae.